GAUGAACGCUGGCGGCGUGCUUAACACAUGCAAGUCGAACGGAAAGGCCCAAGCUUGCUUGGGUACUCGAGUGGCGAACGGGUGAGUAACACGUGGGUGAUCUGCCCUGCACUUCGGGAUAAGCCUGGGAAACUGGGUCUAAUACCGGAUAGGACGAUGGUUUGGAUGCCAUUGUGUAAAGUUUUUUCGGUGUGGGGUGAGGUCGCGGCGUAUCAGCUUGUUGUUGGGGUAUUGGCCUACCAAGGCGUAGACGGGUAGCCGGCCGGAGAGGGUGUACGGCCACACUGGGACUGAGCGACGGGCAGGAGUCCUACGGGAGGCAGCAAUGGGGAAUAUUGCACAAUGCGAGGCAGCGUGAUGCAGGGACGCCGCGUGGGGGAUGAAGGCCUUCGGGUUGUAAACUCCUUUCGCUAGGGACGAAGCGUUUUUGUGACGGUACCUGGAGAAGAAGCACCGGCUAACUACGUG
RNAcentral lists this ribosomal RNA (468 nucleotides) under uncultured bacterium. RNAcentral describes it as "partial 16S ribosomal RNA". It matches the Rfam family "Bacterial small subunit ribosomal RNA", at positions 28 to 507 of the family's 1533-position model. The record is from RNAcentral.